Molecule: long non-coding RNA, 145 nt
Organism: Juglans regia (Persian walnut)
Lineage: Eukaryota; Viridiplantae; Streptophyta; Magnoliopsida; Fagales; Juglandaceae
Exons: 3
Source: RefSeq, a predicted model, not a curated record
AAGACCUCCAUUGGCGGCACUCGCAUUAUUGGACGCCUUUGUGCAGGAAACAAAAAUGGGCUUCUCUUGCCCCACACCACCACUGACCAAGGGAGAAUCAAGUUGUCAAUUCUUCAUAUGGGUCGAUAUACUUUAGCUGAUAGAG